Long non-coding RNA from Nannospalax galili (Upper Galilee mountains blind mole rat), 1058 nucleotides. RefSeq lists it as uncharacterized. The transcript has 4 exons. The record is from RefSeq and is a predicted model, not a curated record. Lineage: Eukaryota; Metazoa; Chordata; Mammalia; Rodentia; Spalacidae.
CAUCUGUCUUCAGGUCUGCACAGCACGGGAGCCACCCACAAGCUACCUGCACCUGCAGGCAUUGGCCAUGGUGGCCAGGUGGGCUGCAGGGCGUCUGUCAAACUAGGUGGAAACCGAUGGAGACAAAGAGCCCUGGGUCUCUGAAACUGGAAACUGGCACCCAACUGAGCUGUAAUCCUGGAGGCCUACAAGAGAACAUGGACUCUUCACAGAACUACUGCCAGGCUGAUGUCCUCAGAAAACCCGGGUGAACCUGAAGCACGUAUGUGCAAGUUAGUGAGACCAGACCCCCGCUUUGGGACAAGAAGAGACCCCAUGCUUGUCUGGAGCCUCUGCGGACUCUGUCAACAGUGGCUGGGGUUGCUGAUCAGAGGAGGCUGAUGAGACACACACCUGGCAGCAAUUGCAGCCAAGGCCUGCCAGCAGUUUCCAGGACUUGGCUGGGCUUGCAGCACACCUGGCUGGUCUGCAGCUCUGAAUGGGAGCCUAGCUUCUCCAGCAGCUUCCUGAGUGAGCAAAGUCCAACUGGCAUUCAUCAUCUCCACUCUAUGCCAGCAACCUGCCCCACAGACAGCAGGACUUGAACACAGGCACACCCCAUGAGGAAGCCCAGCAGAGCAGGAUGACCCAGAGAAUGGAGAAUUCUGCAUCACCCACUAUCCAGCAUUCAGGAACAGUCAUCAGAAAAAUGACUUUUGAGUUCACAAAACUUCAGCUUGGAAGCCAAUGAAAAUCUAAAAUACCAUCCUCCAGAGACAACAAAGGAGUCACAUGGCAGGCAGAGUUCUUACCCACACGAGAGCCAGAAGAGCAGACAUUGGACCACCAAGAGAGAGCAGCAUCAACCCAGCGGGGCCUGCCUGCUGUAGAGAGGAUGGGGUGCUUGUCCCAGUGCUGGGGAGGACAUAGCCUGACUUCAGUAUCUCCCAUGAGUGCCACCAGCGGCUGCCAUGGACUGCCCCCUUCUCUCUGAGGCUCUGUGGUCUACCGCAUCGUGCUUUCUGUAGUGCCAUGGGACCUGAUGAGCAGGAAGGGUUGGACCAAGGGGAAGGAGGAGA